AUGCAUGUCGGUACGAUCAUGGAGUCGAAUGAUGCGACUUUCUUUGAAGAUAUAUUUCCCAUGAAGGAUAUGGCUACCUCAUCUAAUCAGGAUAUGCCUAGUUCAUCGAAUCAGGAACCAGUUACAAUUACCGAACCUGCCAUUUCGAUGGAACACUAUGAAAGUCAUGUGGAGGAGAACAAUGAAGUUCCUAUUAGGAGCAAGAGACAAAGGACUGCAAAGUCCUUUGGUGAUGAUUUUCUUGUGUAUCUCAUAGAUGACACUCCCAGUUCUAUUUCAGAGGCCUAUGCAUCGGAAGAUGCUAACUACUGGAAGGAAUCGGUUCGUAGCGAGAUGGAUUCCAUCUUGGCGAAUGAAACUUGGGAGAUAACUGAUCGUCCUUAUGGGUGCAAACCUAUAGGAUGCAAAUGGGUAUUCAAGAAGAAGCUUAGGCCUGAUGGUACUAUUGAAAAGUACAAGGCUCGGCUCAUGGCAAAGGGUUAUACCCAAAAGGAAGGUGAAGACUUCUUUGAUACUUACUCACCUGUGGCUCGACUAACCACUAUUCGAGUUCUACUUUCACUAGCUGCCUCACAUGGUCUUCUCGUUCAUCAAAUGGAUGUUAAGACUGCUUUCCUAAAUGGAGAGUUGGAUGAGGAAAUUUAUAUGCAACAACCAGAUGGGUUUGUAAUAGAUGGUCAGGAAGGGAAAGUGUGCAAGUUGAUGAAAUCUUUGUAUGGACUGAAGCAAGCACCCAAAUAG
Molecule: ribosomal RNA, 741 nt
Filed under: Triticum aestivum (bread wheat)
Lineage: Eukaryota; Viridiplantae; Streptophyta; Magnoliopsida; Poales; Poaceae
Description: partial small subunit ribosomal RNA
Source: RNAcentral